This 524-nucleotide ribosomal RNA is filed under the name uncultured bacterium. RNAcentral's name for it is "bacterial SSU rRNA". It matches the Rfam family "Bacterial small subunit ribosomal RNA", at positions 777 to 1301 of the family's 1533-position model. The record is from RNAcentral.
AAUAGAUACCCAGGUAGUCCACGCCGUAAACGAUGAGUGCUAAGUGUUAGAGGGUUUCCGCCCUUUAGUGCUGAAGUUAACGCAUUAAGCACUCCGCCUGGGGAGUACGGCCGCAAGGCUGAAACUCAAAGGAAUUGACGGGGGCCCGCACAAGCGGUGGAGCAUGUGGUUUAAUUCGAAGCAACGCGAAGAACCUUACCAGGUCUUGACAUCCUCUGACAACCCUAGAGAUAGGGCUUCUCCUUCGGGAGCAGAGUGACAGGUGGUGCAUGGUUGUCGUCAGCUCGUGUCGUGAGAUGUUGGGUUAAGUCCCGCAACGAGCGCAACCCUUGAUCUUAGUUGCCAUCAUUCAGUUGGGCACUCUAAGGUGACUGCCGGUGACAAACCGGAGGAAGGUGGGGAUGACGUCAAAUCAUCAUGCCCCUUAUGACCUGGGCUACACACGUGCUACAAUGGACGGUACAAAGAGCUGCAAGACCGCGAGGUGGAGCUAAUCUCAUAAAACCGCUCUCAGUUCGGAUUGU